UUUUCUGAUGAAGAAUACUGCAGCAAUGUCUUGUCUGUUUGUCAAAAGUUAUCCUGGAGGGCUCUUGAGAUAUGUGCCCCCGUUAUAAUUGGAAAGAUGUGCGGUGACGAUGAAGCCGCUAUACAUGAGCCAUAUCCGCAUAACUACAUUGGCUUAGAAAGGCUUGAUAAAAGGGAAUGAAAGCAAACAGAAUUUUCUUCGCUUGGCCUCUGCCCUAAACGGGGUGGUUAUUGCACAAGACUUUAUUGUUAAGAUAUUUGAACAGUGUAUCACGUUUGAUGAUGCUUUGCAAUGGUCGAAAACUGUUUGCAGUACAGAAGACACGUCUGAAACCACAAUUAUGGAGGUUGUUCAUGAAAGUUAUGUUUCUGAAGUUAAGGAAACAUUCAGAAAUUUUAGGGACAGUGGGCUAUUACAGGUGUAUUUGGCCUCCAAUUAUUUAAGAAGACCGAUCAGGCAGUUUUGUUUGCUUCCUGGUGCCGACCAUUAUCGCAGUCG
Molecule: long non-coding RNA, 498 nt
Organism: Dendronephthya gigantea
Lineage: Eukaryota; Metazoa; Cnidaria; Anthozoa; Malacalcyonacea; Nephtheidae
Exons: 4
Source: RefSeq, a predicted model, not a curated record